RNAcentral lists this ribosomal RNA (427 nucleotides) under uncultured bacterium. Its description in RNAcentral is "partial 16S ribosomal RNA". It matches the Rfam family "Bacterial small subunit ribosomal RNA", at positions 355 to 774 of the family's 1533-position model. The record is from RNAcentral.
UGGGGAAUAUUGGACAAUGGGCGAAAGCCUGAUCCAGCCAUGCCGCGUGUGUGAAGAAGGUCUUCGGAUUGUAAAGCACUUUAAGUUGGGAGGAAGGGCAUUAACCUAAUACGUUAGUGUUUUGACGUUACCGACAGAAUAAGCACCGGCUAACUCUGUGCCAGCAGCCGCGGUAAUACAGAGGGUGCAAGCGUUAAUCGGAAUUACUGGGCGUAAUGCGCGCGUAGGUGGUUUGUUAAGUUGGAUGUGAAAUCCCCGGGCUCAACCUGGGAACUGCAUUCAAAACUGACUGACUAGAGUAUGGUAGAGGGUGGUGGAAUUUCCUGUGUAGCGGUGAAAUGCGUAGAUAUAGGAAGGAACACCAGUGGCGAAGGCGACCACCUGGACUAAUACUGACACUGAGGUGCGAAAGCGUGGGGAGCAAACA